This 1544-nucleotide long non-coding RNA is filed under the name Capsicum annuum. Its description in RNAcentral is "long non-coding RNA (CANN_LNC014626)". The record is from RNAcentral. Lineage: Eukaryota; Viridiplantae; Streptophyta; Magnoliopsida; Solanales; Solanaceae.
UCCAAAAAUAUAAUAUCCAAUCCAAUUAUUACAACUCGAAGUAAAAGGUACUGAAAAGUAAACCUACACUAAUCCUAAACUACGCUCCAAUGCUUUACCCGAUGCCCUGGAUCUUGAUCACGAACCUCCUUUGCAUACAUGAUACUUCGGGGAAUUCCCCAGUGAAUAAAUACAAAUGACCACGGGGCAUUCCUCGGCUAAAUGAAUACAUUUUCCACAUGAGAGAAAAAUAAAAUCAUUCAACAAAUAUUCCAAACACUCAACAAUCCACAAUCCCUAAGUUUUGCCUACCCGAGCCUACCGUUUGCCUAUCCGGCUUGACUUACCAUGAUCCUAUUGUGUUUAACAACAUAAAUACUUAUUUCGAAUUAACCAAACAUCACUGAAUCAAAAUAAUCAAUAUUCACUUUUAUCAAUUUUUCAAUUCUCGUCCCACUUAUUCCCAAUUGGAUCUAAAUCAUUCAACUAUCCAAACCAAGUGAACAAUCAACCAAUAUCCACCAUCAUUGACGAUUCAAACACAACCAAAUUAGAUAAAGCAAUGCACACACAUUAUGAAUUCACCACACGAAGUAUCAACAACUUAAAAUUAAUCAAAAAUGAGAUAAGAAAUGGACCUCAAACAAAAUUUAUUUUGGUGUUAUUGUAGCGGAGUAUCGAAGCUCCAAAAUAGUAGCUUUGAAGAAGAGCCACAGACUAAACCUCAAUCAAAAAACCCCAAUGAACAAACUAGACUAUCAAAAACUUCACCGUAUAAAACUAAUCCGAUCCAUUUAAGGGCCAAUGGAUCCAACUUCUGAAAUUUUUGACUGUUGAUGGUGGUUUUAUUAUUGAAAAUAGCAGCAGACGUUGGCUCAGAGAGUUUUUUCAGUGAGAUUCAAUGGAAAACUUAGACAAAGGCAUGAAAUGGCGCUACUGGUGCUGGGGAUUUAGAUGUUUGGACACUGGUUUUUAUCAGGAUUUAGAAGGUGAUGGUGGAAUUUCAUGAUGGGGCGACAUCAAAGUUUCACUAGAAAAGCUUGGUUGGAGCUGUUUUUUCCUCUUUUCUGUUCAAUCUCUAUUUUUCUCUCAGUUUCUUUCAUCUCUCACUAUUUCUCUCCCUUAAUUCACUUCCUUUUUAACUCUUUUUUUCUCCUCCCUCUCUUGAAAUCUCUCCCACUCAAUUUUCUCUCUUUCUUUCUGAUUGAGUAUGGGUGACUGUGUAUACAUGCUUAAAUUGUGUGUGUUGUAGUGUGUAUGCAUAUAUGAAAAAAUGGAGAUGAAGUGUGUUACCUCUUCAAAGGAAAAAUCCAAUCCCCUUUUCUGUGUAUUGUAUUCUACUAUAUGGAAAAAUGUGUGUAAGUGGAUUGCCUAUAAACAAAAAUGGAGGAGAAUGAUAUGGGUAUCUGUGCGUGUAUGGCCUCUGUGUAUAAUUGAGGUAUGUGCAUAUUAUAUGUACAGCUGUGUGUGUAUAUUUCAUUAGUGAGAUAGGGGAGGGGGUCUGGGGUAGUGAGUGGUAGGAGGGUAUGUGGUGGUAGGGUGUGGGGUGGUGAUGUGUCAAAAUU